Acanthosepion pharaonis is the source of this 109-nucleotide non-coding RNA. Lineage: Eukaryota; Metazoa; Mollusca; Cephalopoda; Sepiida; Sepiidae. The record is from the annotation of a GenBank genome assembly.
UUACGGCCACACCAGGUAGAAACACCACUUCCCAUACGAUAACCGAAGUUAAGCAACGUCGAACCUGGUCAGUAUCAAGGUGACCGCUUGGGAAUAGCAGGUGCUGGAU